This 487-nucleotide ribosomal RNA is filed under the name uncultured bacterium. RNAcentral describes it as "partial 16S ribosomal RNA". It matches the Rfam family "Bacterial small subunit ribosomal RNA", at positions 28 to 507 of the family's 1533-position model. The record is from RNAcentral.
GAUGAACGCUAGCGAUAGGCUUAACACAUGCCAGUCGAGGGGCAGCACAAGGUAGCUUGCUAUCUGGGUGGCGACCGGCGCACGGGUGCGUAACGCGUAUGCAACUUGCCCUAUACAGGAGGAUAACCCGUCGAAAGACGGACUAAUACUGCGUAUGCUCACAACUUGGCAUCAAGUGGUGAGGAAAGAAAUUCGGUAUAGGAUAGGCAUGCGUCCCAUUAGCUUGUUGGUGAGGUAACGGCUCACCAAGGCAACGAUGGGUAGGGGAACUGAGAGGUUUAUCCCCCACACUGGUACUGAGACACGGACCAGACUCCUACGGGAGGCAGCAGUGAGGAAUAUUGGUCAAUGGGCGCGAGCCUGAACCAGCCAAGUCGCGUGAAGGAUGACUGUCUUAUGGAUUGUAAACUUCUUUUAUACGGGAAUAACAAGAGUCACGUGUGACUCCCUGCACGUACCGUAUGAAUAAGCAUCGGCUAACUCCGUG